GACGAACGCUGGCGGCGUGCUUAACACAUGCAAGUCGAACGGAAAGGCCCUGCUUUUGUGGGGUGCUCGAGUGGCGAACGGGUGAGUAACACGUGAGUAACCUGCCCUUGACUUUGGGAUAACUUCAGGAAACUGGGGCUAAUACCGGAUAGGAGCUCCUGCUGCAUGGUGGGGGUUGGAAAGUUUCGGCGGUUGGGGAUGGACUCGCGGCUUAUUAGCUUGUUGGUGGGGUAGUGGCUUACCAAGGCUUUGACGGGUAGCCGGCCUGAGAGGGUGGACGGCCACAUUGGGACUGAGAUACGGCCCAGACGCCUACGGGAGGCAGCAGUGGGGAAUAUUGCACAAUGGGCGGAAGCCUGAUGCAGCAACGCCGCGUGCGGGAUGACGGCCUUCGGGUUGUAAACCGCUUUCGCCUGUGACGAAGCGUGAGUGACGGUAAUGGGUAAAGAAGCACCGGCUAACUACGUG
Molecule: ribosomal RNA, 468 nt
Filed under: uncultured bacterium
Lineage: Bacteria
Description: partial 16S ribosomal RNA
Rfam family: Bacterial small subunit ribosomal RNA
Source: RNAcentral